RNAcentral lists this ribosomal RNA (112 nucleotides) under Utricularia endresii. RNAcentral's name for it is "partial 5.8S ribosomal RNA". It matches the Rfam family "5.8S ribosomal RNA", at positions 52 to 154 of the family's 154-position model. From Rfam's summary of the family: 5.8S ribosomal RNA (5.8S rRNA) is a component of the large subunit of the eukaryotic ribosome. It is transcribed by RNA polymerase I as part of the 45S precursor that also contains 18S and 28S rRNA. Functionally, it is thought that 5.8S rRNA may be involved in ribosome translocation. The record is from RNAcentral. Lineage: Eukaryota; Viridiplantae; Streptophyta; Magnoliopsida; Lamiales; Lentibulariaceae.
AGUGCGAUACUUGGUGUGAAUUGCAGAAUCCCGUGAACCAUCGAGUUUUUGAACGCAAGUUGCGCCCGAGGCGUCUCCGCCGAGGGCACGCCUGCCUGGGCGUCGCGCAUCG